Molecule: ribosomal RNA, 441 nt
Filed under: uncultured bacterium
Lineage: Bacteria
Description: bacterial SSU rRNA
Rfam family: Bacterial small subunit ribosomal RNA
Source: RNAcentral
UUACGGGAGGCAGCAGUGGGGAAUCUUGCACAAUGGGGGCAACCCUGAUGCAGCGACGCCGCGUGAACGAUGAAGCCCUUCGGGGUGUAAAGUUCUUUCGGCAGGAACGAUAAUGACGGUACCUGCAGAAGAAGCUGCGGCUAACUACGUGCCAGCAGCCGCGGUAAUACGUAGGCAGCAAGCGUUGUUCGGAGUUACUGGGCGUAAAGAGUAUGUAGGCGGUUCUGCAAGUUCGGUGUGAAAUCUCCCGGCUUAACUGGGAGGGUGCGCCGAAAACUGCAAGGCUAGAGUGCGGGAGAGGAAAGCGGAAUUCCUGGUGUAGCGGUGAAAUGCGUAGAUAUCAGGAGGAACACCGGCGGUGUAGACGGCUUUCUGGACCGUGACUGACGCUGAGAUACGAAAGCGUGGGGAGCAAACAGGAUUAGAUACCCCGGUAGUCCA